RNAcentral lists this transfer RNA (73 nucleotides) under Spirochaetes bacterium GWC1_27_15. Its description in RNAcentral is "tRNA-Arg". It matches the Rfam family "tRNA". Rfam says of the family: Transfer RNA (tRNA) molecules are approximately 80 nucleotides in length. Their secondary structure includes four short double-helical elements and three loops (D, anti-codon, and T loops). Further hydrogen bonds mediate the characteristic L-shaped molecular structure. tRNAs have two regions of fundamental functional importance: the anti-codon, which is responsible for specific mRNA codon recognition, and the 3' end, to which the tRNAs corresponding amino acid is attached (by aminoacyl-tRNA synthetases). tRNAs cope with the degeneracy of the genetic code in two manners: having more than one tRNA (with a specific anti-codon) for a particular amino acid; and 'wobble' base-pairing, i.e. permitting non-standard base-pairing at the 3rd anti-codon position. The record is from RNAcentral. RNAcentral also lists the same sequence under 1 other name. Lineage: Bacteria; Pseudomonadati; Spirochaetota.
GGCUCGGUAGCUCAGUGGAUAGAGCAAAAGUUUCCUAAACUUUUGGUCGGAUGUUCGAUUCAUCUCCGGGUCA